GUCUACAGCCAUGGUACCCUGAACAAGCCUGAUCCCGUCUGAUCUUGGAAGCUAAGCAGAGUCGGGCCUGGUUAGUACUUGGAUGGGAGACCACUUAGGAAGACCAGGUGCUGUAGGCG
Non-coding RNA from Pteropus alecto (black flying fox), 119 nucleotides. The record is from Rfam. Lineage: Eukaryota; Metazoa; Chordata; Mammalia; Chiroptera; Pteropodidae.